AUCGACCUUGCCGUCCGCCGUCGUCGCCUCUCCAUCGUCUGCGCCUCCGUCCAUCUUCGCCAUUUCUGUUUCGUCUUCUUCAUUUCUGAUUCAUCUAGACCAAAUAUGAUUACCCUUAUGGGAUUCAUGUUCUUGGUCAUAUCUACAUUGCAUAGCUAUGGCCACGUGGAGAAGAAGGAUUCAUGUAGCCGACCCCAUUUGAUGGGACUUAAGGCUUGGUUUGGUUUGGUUUAUUUACUGUGUUUGAGUUUUAAAGUAGUUGCAAAAUAUCUUGACUGACGAUUUUCUUUGAUAAGUGUCCCUUUCAUUAUUUUCACAUGUAAGUGUUGCAGAUAUAUUCACUUCGCCUGGAUUCAAUUCCUCCUAGAUGGGUCCUUUUUGCACAUGGGUUGCUUCUCUUCUUAUAUCAGGUGCUGAUUGGUGGGCUCAACCUUUUGGGAAGUCUCUGCCAUUUCUGAGCUGGGUUCCGUUGAUAAAUGCGUGUACAAUGUUUGUAAGGUUGUUCAGGCGAGGAAAGGAAGCAUGCUACUGGCGUUGGCAAUGCUUUACCUGUUUGUUGUGCUUGUGGGAGGAGUCCUGAUAUGGAUUAUUUGUCAAUAUGGUGGUCUGCAUGAUCUGUCUGGCUUCAGAAAGAUCCUCUGCUGAUCUGUCUGGAUGGUCUGCAUGAUCUGUCUGGCUUCAGUGUGUGCUCCAGAUCUGUCUGGCUUUUUUCUGAUCUGUCAAUCAUCUUGAUUUGUCUGGAUGCUUUUUUUUGGAGUAAAUUGGUGGUCUAUAUUGUGAAAUUAGAAAUUUUCACAAGUUUGGUUCGAGAAAAUGUCGAAUUUUGCGAAUUUCUCAAAUUGAGAAACUUAAUAAAUUACAAUGUUUCAGAAAUUGCAAAAGUGCACACUUUCUGUAUAGAAAUUUCCAAGUCUUCUUGAUUUUUAAAUAUUGUGAAAUUUCUAAAUUUCUAAUGCUACACAUUAGAAACUCUCCCAAAAAUACAUUACAAAUGAUCAUCAUAGUUUGUGGGCCUUAUUAAAGAUAAUAUAGUACUGAGAACACCAUACAUUCUGUUGAAUGUCAAUUUUAGUGUUUUUAUUUAUUUUGAUGGAAUAUGAUCUUCAGUUGGUGAUGUCAAAUGGCGGCUUUAUAGAAGAUAGAAUACAAAUUAAUAGUCAACUAUAUAUGGUGGUGACUAUCAAUACCAAUUUAUAGUUUGUAUUUAUAUUAAUCAUCGAUGUAUAAAAUUUAUUAGAGAGCUGCUAUAAAUUAUUUUUUGUUUUGAACAUUUUUUUAUAUCACUGAUCAAUACAUGCAUGAUAAAUAUAAUAUCAUAUAUUAGUAUUUGCUUUUUCUAAUACUUACCUCUAAAUAAAAACGAUUAGAAAUAAAACUACCCAAUAGUCACAAACUUAACUUUUUUUCAAGUAUAUAAAGAUCCGUUUUAAAAGUAGACUGCCUACCUCCCCUUUGAGGAGUGAAUUGGUUGGGUUAGUCAAUCGAAUUAUAUUCUGGGUAGUCAAGUGCCACACCCCUUAUCCGAUAUUCAGUCAUGGGCAUCUCCCUUUGCCUCUGAACCGAUAUUGCAAUGUAAUGAAUCAUGUUCAUCAUCCAUGCAUUCAUUAUAUAUCAAUCUAGAUAUAUAGAUUAACAAAAGAUAGAUACUUCUUUUUUCUUAUUUUUUUUCCUUUGGUGGUCUGCAUGAAUGUUUGUGUAACACUGUGGCAGCAGUGUAACACUCGUUUCAUCACAACAUGACAUAUUAGGAGCCUUCAGAAGCCUUGGCAAUAUGGGUUUCAUCAGAAGGCUUCUGAAAAGCUGUUUUAUCACAUAGCAGCACACACCGCUGGGGUACUGAUUAUGGUUGGUUCUGGAUUGAAAUUUAAUUCACAUGAAAGGUUCAUUGAAGGGCAUAGGAGUUAUUGACAAUAUGAAUCAAUUUCAGUUGCCAUGUUGGUUUCUGCUAUGUGGCACUAUAUUGGAUCUGGAAUGGUGGAGGUUUCAAUUUAUUCUAUAGACAUAAGAAUGCUAUUGUUUUAUUUACAAUUUGAUAAUGAUAGUAAUAUAAUUUGCUAAUGUGACCUUUGCUUUUCAUGGACAUUUUUCAUUAUUU
This is a non-coding RNA of Camellia sinensis, 2095 nucleotides long. The record is from RefSeq and is a predicted model, not a curated record. Lineage: Eukaryota; Viridiplantae; Streptophyta; Magnoliopsida; Ericales; Theaceae.